Molecule: ribosomal RNA, 253 nt
Filed under: uncultured bacterium
Lineage: Bacteria
Description: partial 16S ribosomal RNA
Rfam family: Bacterial small subunit ribosomal RNA
Source: RNAcentral
UACAGAGGGGGCAAGCGUUGUUCGGAAUUACUGGGCGUAAAGGGCGCGUAGGCGGCCUUCUAAGUCGAACGUGAAAUCCCCGGGCUCAACCCGGGAACUGCGUCCGAUACUGGAAGGCUUGAAUCCGGGAGAGGGAUGUGGAAUUCCAGGUGUAGCGGUGAAAUGCGUAGAUAUCUGGAGGAACACCGGUGGCGAAGGCGACAUCCUGGACCGGUAUUGACGCUGAUGCGCGAAAGCGUGGGGAGCAAACAGG